AAUUCUCAACCAUCCUUUGAUUGAUUUCGAGGGAUGGCUUGGAUCUUGGGAGUUGCUGGCUGUCCCUCGGGACGGUCGGCUCUCCUUAAAAGCAUUAGCGAAAGGUUGACAAGCCCUGCAUGCACGGCCUUUGACGUGAUAAUGAUCGUCGUGGCUGGAGUGUGAGGCGUAGAUUCGAUCUUUGCUUCCAAAAACAUGGUAUUGGGGGGACUUGCGACCCUCUUUACUUUUUGAC
Molecule: unclassified non-coding RNA, 235 nt
Filed under: Melanogaster broomeanus
Lineage: Eukaryota; Fungi; Basidiomycota; Agaricomycetes; Boletales; Melanogastraceae
Description: partial internal transcribed spacer 2
Source: RNAcentral